RNAcentral lists this ribosomal RNA (301 nucleotides) under uncultured bacterium. RNAcentral's name for it is "partial 16S ribosomal RNA". It matches the Rfam family "Bacterial small subunit ribosomal RNA", at positions 509 to 807 of the family's 1533-position model. The record is from RNAcentral.
CAGUAGCCGCGGUAAUACGAAGGGGGCUAGCGUUGUUCGGAAUUACUGGGCGUAAAGGGCGCGUAGGCGGCCAUUCAAGUUAGAUGUGAAAGCCCUGGGCUCAACCUAGGAAUUGCAUUUGAUACUGUUUGGCUUGAGUUCGGGAGAGGUGAGUGGAAUUCCCAGUGUAGAGGUGAAAUUCGUAGAUAUUGGGAAGAACACCAGUGGCGAAGGCGGCUCACUGGACCGACACUGACGCUGAGGCGCGAAAGCGUGGGGAGCAAACAGGAUUAGAUAUCCGCGUAGUCCCUGUCUCUUAUAC